CUCUGUAGCUCAGUUGGUUAAAGCGCUGCCCCGGAAUCGCAGGGCCGCGCAGGUUCAAUUCCUGCUAUAGAGG
This 73-nucleotide transfer RNA is filed under the name Paramuricea clavata. It matches the Rfam family "tRNA". Rfam says of the family: Transfer RNA (tRNA) molecules are approximately 80 nucleotides in length. Their secondary structure includes four short double-helical elements and three loops (D, anti-codon, and T loops). Lineage: Eukaryota; Metazoa; Cnidaria; Anthozoa; Malacalcyonacea; Plexauridae. The record is from Rfam by way of RNAcentral.